GGGCCCAUAGCUCAGUUGGUUAGAGCAUCUGACUCAUAAUCAGGCGGUCGUAGGUUCAAGUCCUACUGGGCCCACCA
RNAcentral lists this transfer RNA (77 nucleotides) under Acidobacteriota bacterium. RNAcentral describes it as "Acidobacteria bacterium tRNA-Ile". It matches the Rfam family "tRNA". From Rfam's summary of the family: Transfer RNA (tRNA) molecules are approximately 80 nucleotides in length. The record is from RNAcentral. Lineage: Bacteria; Pseudomonadati; Acidobacteriota.